UCAGGCUUUGGAACCUCCGGAACCGUUGGCAAUUCAGGUUUUGGAACCUCUGGCACUUUCGGCAACUCAGGCUUCUGAAUCUCCGGCAUCUUUGGUAACUCCGGCUUCUGAAUUUCCGGCAUCUUUGGCAACUCGGGCUUCUGAAUCUCCGGUACCUUAGGUAACUCCGGCUUCUGAAUCUCCGGAAUUUUAGGCAACUCAGGUUUUGGAAUAUCUGGUAACUUAGGAGCCUCAAGCUUGGGAACUUCCGGCAUCUUUGGCAACUCAGGCUUUGGAAUCUCCGGAACCUUAGGAGCCUCAGGCUUUUCAGUCUCCAUUAGCUUAGGCACCUCAGGCUUUGAAUUUUCCGGAAACUUUGGCAAUUCAGGCUUCUGAAUCUCUGGAAACUUGGGCAAUUCAGGCUUUGGGAUCUCUGGAAACUUCGGCAACUCUGGCUUCGGAAUCUCCGGUACCUUUGGUAACUCCGGCUUCUGAAUCUCCGGGACCUUUGGUAACUCUGGUUUUGGAAUCUCUGGGAUCUUUGGGAGCUCAGGUUUCGGAAUUUCGGGAAACUUGGGCAAUUCAGGCUUUGGAAUCUCUGGCAGUUUAGCUUCCUCGGGCUUUGGAAUCUCCGGCACCUUUGGCAACUCUGGCUUUGGAAUCUCCGGGAUCUUCGGCAAUUC
RNAcentral lists this long non-coding RNA (662 nucleotides) under Arabidopsis lyrata. RNAcentral describes it as "long non-coding RNA (ALYR_LNC001182)". Lineage: Eukaryota; Viridiplantae; Streptophyta; Magnoliopsida; Brassicales; Brassicaceae. The record is from RNAcentral.